Molecule: long non-coding RNA, 664 nt
Organism: Austrofundulus limnaeus
Lineage: Eukaryota; Metazoa; Chordata; Actinopteri; Cyprinodontiformes; Rivulidae
Exons: 4
Source: RefSeq, a predicted model, not a curated record
AAGUAGCCAAAGAAAUGUGCUGUGGAAAACCUUCGUUUUACUGCAUUUUCGCCAGCUACUUUUGCUGCAGUUGUACUGGGAAGUGGGAAUUUCCCACUUGCAUGUCAUAAAUUUAAACUGGAACACCCAUAGAGUGGGAAAUCCCAGUUUGAAAAAUGGGAGAAUUCAGAAUUCAAGAUGGCAGCUACUCACCACAAGUCAACAGCCGCCCUGCGUCGUGGGGACUUUCCACUCUUCCCGCCCUCCGGGUUCAGCAUCCACCACGAGCUCUUCCCCGUCCCCUCGUUCUGGACCCGGACAAAUCGGCUGUGCAAGGACAGGUUGUGUCUAAUGGAGUUCUGAAGGGGAGUGAGAAAGACGGGGGAAAAACAAAACACACAAAAAAAAAGGGUUGUACCUGUGGAAAACUGCAGGCAGUGAGCCAGAGGCAGUCGCUGGCACACUGACCAUUGCGCUGACACACUCGGAGCUGCUCAAAUGUCACCUCGUCUGAUGAAAAAGUCCCCAAAGGAGCGCCACACCACCUACAUGCAGUGGCGCUUUGAAUCAGUCGAAGCCACAAGUGAAACCUCAGCUGCACAGUUCUUAAGAGUUAUGGGUACAGAGUGCAGCUCUGCUCCUUCCACGCUUACUGAAAGUGUGCGGCAGUUUGUUUGGAGAUCAG